UGGAUUCUUUAUAUCCCAGUUUCAUUCUCUUCAUCUCUGUCGUCACUUUCAAAACCCUAACGCCGCUACGCAUCAUCUUCAGCAAAUCCAAAAAUCUUCUUCAGGAAAUCGACAAUGGUGAUUCUCAUGAACCUUUUCACCACUGAUCCCGUAGAUUCGAGCCUCUCUCACAUUCAUCGCUCUACUGGAUUCAUCAUCUUCUCCAAACAAUUCAACAAAUAGCUUAGUUCAACAUGUUGGUAGAAUCUGUGAAUGUUUGGGCAAAAACUUAUGCUAUGAACUACCACAAGUCACUUAACCAUCACAACUUCUAUUUCAAACAACAAGAUUCAAGGAGGCUAACAAGAGAUCUGGGCACUCCAAAUAAGUGAGACAGGCAAGAGUAAGACAGCCGCAAAUAUGUUUUUUUUUGUUUGUUUGAUGCACUUUUUUAGCUUUCAUGAUGCAGGUCCACUGUGAUUGAAUCAUAACUUGGUCUUAAAAGUUGGAGUUCAUAUCAAGGCUUCAAAUCAAGGGUUUGUUGAUCUUCGAUUUGUUUUCUUUUCUGACAAAUAAAUGUCGUCUGCACAAAGAUCUGAUUUUUGCAAUCUCCUUAUUGCCCUUUGGUUCAAGCAAAUCCAUUCGAAAGGAUCCAAACAUCAGAAGUCAUAAAAUACUGGAUAUUGCAAUAAGCAGGAAUAGUAAUAAGUAAUCUCUUAUACCACGACGAUUGAGGUACGGUUUUUUUUGUGUAAAUAUGUGUAUCAGUGUGUUUCUAGGGUUCUGACUAACGGACGUUGAUGAUGGUGUUUUGAUGUCUUAGUAACAAUAGUAGUGGUUGUAGUGGUGGACAGUCGCCGUACCGUAGAAGAAAGUUGAAUAUCAACAGCUAUUUCAUUCAAUCUAGCCGCGACGGCGAUGGUGUUAACAUUUAGUUUUGAAUUAUUAAUCGGAAACGAUAACUAACCCAACCGUAGUAUGGUAGCAGAUGGACCAGCGAGGCUGGUGGAUUUCAUUGUAGAAGAAAGUUGCAAAGAGGGGUACAUAUGUGGGUUUCAUCUGGUUUUUUCGUCUCUCUUUCAUCGAUAUAUUGUCAUUUACCCUCUUAGUUUAACUGUUUUCUUCUGCAGUUGAUGCUUUAGGUGAAUAUUUUACUAAAAUAGUAAUAUCUAAUUCGAUCAGGUAUUUGGUUUAUAUGGAUUAGAUUAAAUUAGACGAAUCCUUUCCAAUUCGAUCAGUGUCAAAGACGUGGCAACAACUUAUUCACCAUCACUGCCUACCUCUCGCACAGUUGGUUCAGCUUUUGUAUAUAAUGAACACCAUAAAGCUGACACAACAUUAGUAUGUAAAAAUGUAACUAAAAGCAAGGCGAGCUCUCAUUCAGCAAUUGGACAGAUCUCACGACACCACAUUAACAAGUGUUAUGGCUAUUCCACUUUAACGUUUGGUUGAAUAUACAAGAGGAUGGUAGCAUCGCCGGUUGCGACAUGGUUAUUUGUUGCGACAUGGUUAUCGGUUGCGACAUGGUUUGUUAUCCUACUGUGGAAACAACUCAACCAUCUUGGGAUUGCUGGAUUUGGUCCGGAGACGUUUCGAUUAGACCCAUAUGUCAAUGUUUCAUGUAGAAAGUUGAGAGUUUUUUUCUUAUCUUUGAUGGUUCAGAAGCAGGCUUACUCAAACCCCAUCGCCCACCCAGUUACUUCAAGAAAAGCUAAGAGUGUUGGAACCAAAUGUGACUGAUUGCAACCUAUAAAAGAGCUAAGAGUUUUAUACUCUCAAUCACGCUGCAACGCGCAAAAUUACAAUCAACCCAUUACUUGAAGAACGGGUCAUGAAUGGUGGUGUGCAUUAUAUUAACCAAUCAAGAGUCAUUGAUUACUGGUGCGGUUGCUGGGAUAAGCUAUACCAUAUGUGCGUAUCCUUUGGAGUUGCUAAAAGCUCGGCUCACCAGAUACCUUUCGCUUUCAAAAUUUCAUCUUCUUAUCAAUAUAAUUUAACUUUAGAAGAUUGUUAUUAUAGAGUUUACAUAAUGUAUGAACAGGGGUUGUUCAUGGUUUAUUUUAAAUCGUUAAACCAUCCAAACCGGUUAUCGUUUGGUUUCGAGGUUGGUUUUUAUAUUUAUUUUUUUGUCGGCCGGUUUCAAUAAACUCGAACCAUAACAAAUGGUUUGGUUUGCGGUUUAUACCGUAAACCAGCCAUAUAAAAACGGACCGAACCGUAAGAUUGACUAUUUAAUUUUUUUUAUAAAAUGUUACAUACACAUAUAAAUGUGCGUCUGCGCCUUAAUUUGUUUCAUCUAUAAUUGUUUUCGAUGUAGGUGUUAUAGACUUUCUUUACAAAGUCUAACCUUGAUUUUUAUGUAAAAGAUGUACUAAACAAAAAAUGUACUUAACAGGACGAGCAAAUUCCUUUUUAGCUUUAUAUAUAUUUUAUAGAAAGGCUUGAUUAAGAUAAAUUCUUUUCAUUUAUCUACAUUUGAUAACAACAUAAAAUGAUCCGUGUUAGCUUUAUUAAACGGGUUAGAUUUAUAAAAAGAGGUUAGUUUUACUAUGUAUCAAAUUUGUUGAACGGGUCAACUUUAAAAACAGGUUUAAUGUAUAAAUUGGUCAUGUUUGGGUUAGAUUUUAUAAGAGUUUACAAGUUUAUCCAAAAGCUCGACUAGAAAACAUUGACUUAUCAUGACUUUUCUUUAUUGGUACUUAAAUACAUAUUUUGUACUAGACUGACAUAUGAAAGGCCUAGUAUCCUCAAAUGGUUCUCAUUAGGUCACUUCACUUGCCCCACCACAAUGCAAGAGCUUUGGUUAAUGAUGAUUUUCAUCAUAAUAUGAUGGUUGCAAGCAACUGAUGAAAUGAAUUUCGACAUUUUAGUUUCUCACAUGAUAGAGAAGGAGUUAAUACUAAAAAUACCUAUAAUUAAAAAAGCUCCAAUAAAAGACAUAGGACGUUUUCAAUCCUAAUGGGUUUGAUUAGAUUCAAACCAAAUAAUUAGAUGGAACAUUGAUGAAUUCCAGGUUAUUGGUUACGAAACUCCAGCAAAUAGAAGUAUUAGAGCAAUAGGCUUUCAAUUUAUAUUUCAAACCAGAAAAAACAUAUUUCUUUCAUUUACUUUUCUUUUCGCUUUUGUUACAUUUGUAGUACGAUGCUUCGUUUUAUUUUAAUCUUUAACUUCAGAUUGCCAUAAUAAGUUCAUGUGUAUAGUUUGUUUAUGAUGUUGUAACUCUGUAGGCUUAUUCGACUGUUGGUACACCUGAUUAUAUUGCUCCUGAAGUUUUGUUGAAAAAAAGAUAUGGAAUGGAAUGUGAUUGGUUUGUAUCUUUUGUGGUAAACAAAACACUUAUUGAGUUAUUGGAAUAUAAUUAUAAUAAGAAUUAACUGAAUCUUGUUUUCCUGCCUGUAGGUGGUCUCUUGGGGCGACCCAAUAUCAAAUGGAUCAUAUAACUUAUGAUGAUUUUGGUGUCGUUGAUUGUUGGUGAUUGCGGCGGCAGAGAUGGUUGGUGUGGUUGUGGCGGAGAUGGUUGAUGGUGGCUACGGUGGUGGCAGAUUAGCAAUGGUUUGAUGGUGGUGGUGAUGAGUGUGGUGGUGGCAAUGUGGUUGAGGGUGGCUGCGGUCGUGGCGUUGGUUGAUGGUGGCUAUGGUGGUGGCGUUGGUUGACGGUAGCUAAGGUGGUGGCUUCGGGUGAUGGUGGUUGUCGCAGAGGCAAUGGUUGGUGUUGGGUAUGUUAUUGGGGAUGGUUCCGGUGGUGACAAGGCUCGCCCUUCGAGAAGGGCUACUUAGAAAAAUAACAACACUUUUUCCCUUUGCCGUUAUUGUUGAGGUUUUUUCUAUAUGCAGUUGUGGUGGUGCCGAGUCCAUUCAUAUCUUAUACCCUGCAGUGCUAUGAUGAAUACCUACAUAAGUGUCUUGAGAAAGCUGCAGAAGCAAUGGGAAUUUCAACGUGGGGUAUCCCACCUGAUGGUGCGGGCUCUUAUAAUGACGAACAUGUGGAUACCGAUUUCUUUUGUUAUUGUGGUGAUUACAAUGGACCGUAUGGCAGAUUUUUUUCUGAAUUGGUACUCCCAGUAUCUCAUUGAUAAUGGAGACAGGGUACUAACCAAGGCCAAAUUGGCCUUUAGAGAUACCCUCAUUUCUGUGAAAUUAUCAGGCAUUUAUUGGUGGUAGGCAUUUAUUGGUGGUACGAAACAAACGGCCAUGCAGCUGAACUGACAGUUGGAUAUUACAACCCGGUCAACCGUGAUGGAUAUGCUCCAAUUGCUUCAUUGUUAAAGAAGCAUGAAGCUGCUUUAAACCUUACAUGUGUUGAUCUGUCUACAGUAGAAGAACAAAAAGACUUUCCGGAAGCAAAGGUUGAUGAUCCUGAAGGGUUAGUUUGCCAGGUAGUGUAGGUAGGUGUUAAUUUUUAAACUAGUGAAAUUUUGGGGUUAUUUUUGGGUAGUUUAGAAUGUAGCGUUCCUAAUUGAGAAUGGCAGAUAAAGAGGGCUGGGAGUGAUGGUCACCCUACGCCCUCUUAAUAGUUUUUUUUUUGGUAUUGUUAUGUGGUUUAUAGAUGGUCCCUGGGUAGUGGUUUGUUGCUCUGCUUAACUUCGAGUUUUGUAUAGCGUUGAGUGAUUAUAAGACUAAACUGGACUUAAUAUAGGAUGGUUGUAGUUUUCGUGUGAAGGGUUUGUAAAGUAUGACAACGAUUUAAAGUAUAAAUGUAUGAAAAAUGUGUUGCAACGUGCUCUUAUAUG
Long non-coding RNA from Helianthus annuus (common sunflower), 4708 nucleotides. RefSeq lists it as uncharacterized. The transcript has 14 exons. NCBI's taxonomy places the organism in Eukaryota, Viridiplantae, Streptophyta, Magnoliopsida, Asterales, Asteraceae. The record is from RefSeq and is a predicted model, not a curated record.